RNAcentral lists this ribosomal RNA (1336 nucleotides) under Epictia goudotii. RNAcentral describes it as "partial 16S ribosomal RNA". It matches the Rfam family "Bacterial large subunit ribosomal RNA", at positions 181 to 2594 of the family's 2925-position model. The record is from RNAcentral. Lineage: Eukaryota; Metazoa; Chordata; Lepidosauria; Squamata; Leptotyphlopidae.
GCUGAAAUCCUAGUUCACACACAUCACCCAUCUGCCAAGCCAAACUGAACCAAAACAUUUGACACGAUUAGUAGACGCGAUCGAACAUCACCGUGGACACAAUAGAGAUAGUACCGUAAGGGAAAGGAGAACACCCUUAAGCCCAAAAAAGCAAAGAUCAAAUCUUGUACCUUUCGCAUCAUGGUUUAGCAAGCAAACCCAAGCAAGUAGCACAAGCUUGAUGCCCCGAAACCAAGUGAGCUACCUCCAAGCAGCUAAUGAGCGCACCCCCCCCUGUAGCAAAAGGGCGGAAAGACUUAGAGGUAGCAGUGAAAAGCCUAUCGAACUUGGCAAUAGCUGGUUGCUCAAAAAUGAAUCUAAGUUCUACCCUAACACCCACUGCCACCCCCACUUGAAAGUUAGGAAUACUCAUCGGGGGUACAGCUCCGAUGAGCUGGGAUACAACCCGAGUCUGAGAGGAAAGAGACGCGCACCCCCNNNCCGUAGGCCUUUAAGCAGCCACCAGCAAAAAUAGCGUCAAAGCACUCCCCACCCUAAUUCCAAAAUUCAACCAUAUCUCCAAACACAACUCAGAGCAACUCUAUCAUUAUAGAAGAACCUAUGCUAAAACUACUAACCAGAAAGCCCCCUUCUCCAGACACACCUGUCAGCCGGAAAUAGAAUCACUACCGGCACUUAUCAGACCACAAAAGGAACAGGGCACCCCCCCCAUUUCUAGGCCCUCGCCACACUGUGACCCCAACACAGGAGUGUCACCCAUAAACGAAAGAUGAAAAGCUAUAAAAGGAACUCGGCAACCACUGACUCCAACUGUUUACCAAAAACAUAACCUUUAGCCCAAACAAGUAUUAAAGGCGAUGCCUGCCCAGUGAGAACCUCUUCAACGGCCGCGGUACCCUAACCGUGCAAAGGUAGCAUAAUCACUUGUCCACUAAUUAUGGGCUAGCAUGAAAGGCCCCAUGAGAGUCAAACUGUCUCUUAUAGCCCAUCAGUGAAACUGAUCUUACAGUCCAAAAGCUGUAAUAAACUCAUAAGACGAGAAGACCCUGUGAAAUUUUAACCACCCCCUGGUAUUUUCCCGGGGUACUUUUAGUUGGGGCGACUUUGGAACAAACAAAACUUCCAAACACACAGGGCAUCUUCCCCUACAACAUAGGCCUACAAGCCUCUAAACGACCCAGUAAACCUGAUAAAUGAACCAAACUACUCCAGGGAUAACAGCGCAAUCCUCUUCAAGAGCCCAUAUCAAAAAGAGGGUUUACGACCUCGAUGUUGGAUCAGGGCACCCAAGUGGCGCAGCCACUGCUAAAGGUUCGUUUGUUCAACGAUUAAUAGC